GCCGGGUUAGCUCAAUCGGUAGAGCGUGCGGCUCUUAGAUCCCCCGUAUCUCGGGUAAGACGGCGGUGUCAUGUGACCGCAAGGUUGCGGGUUCGACCCCCGCGUUCGGCU
Molecule: transfer RNA, 111 nt
Organism: Paracoccidioides brasiliensis
Lineage: Eukaryota; Fungi; Ascomycota; Eurotiomycetes; Onygenales; Ajellomycetaceae
Rfam family: tRNA
About the family: Transfer RNA (tRNA) molecules are approximately 80 nucleotides in length. Their secondary structure includes four short double-helical elements and three loops (D, anti-codon, and T loops). Further hydrogen bonds mediate the characteristic L-shaped molecular structure. tRNAs have two regions of fundamental functional importance: the anti-codon, which is responsible for specific mRNA codon recognition, and the 3' end, to which the tRNAs corresponding amino acid is attached (by aminoacyl-tRNA synthetases). tRNAs cope with the degeneracy of the genetic code in two manners: having more than one tRNA (with a specific anti-codon) for a particular amino acid; and 'wobble' base-pairing, i.e. permitting non-standard base-pairing at the 3rd anti-codon position.
Source: Rfam